This 22-nucleotide transfer RNA is filed under the name Sericata tantilla. RNAcentral's name for it is "partial tRNA-Met". Lineage: Eukaryota; Metazoa; Mollusca; Gastropoda; Stylommatophora; Clausiliidae. The record is from RNAcentral.
AAUGGAAUUAUUCCUCUUUAGA